Triticum dicoccoides is the source of this 1003-nucleotide long non-coding RNA. RefSeq lists it as uncharacterized. The record is from RefSeq and is a predicted model, not a curated record. The transcript is spliced from 2 exons. NCBI's taxonomy places the organism in Eukaryota, Viridiplantae, Streptophyta, Magnoliopsida, Poales, Poaceae.
CGGAGGGAGUAGUAAUUUUGUAGUGUGAUGUGAUGGGUCAAUGUAGAGUUGGUUGAUGAAUUGUAGAGUUGGAACAGCUCUUCCAUGUUAGAAAUUGAUUUGGCAACAGCGCAAUGCUUUUUGUAGUUAUUAGUGCGAUAUGGUUGGUCCUUGUGUUGGUUCAAGAAUUAUUUUUUUGUUUUUUGAUGCUCAAGGAUUGAUUGUGCAGGGCUAUGCACAGUGUGUUGCUCGAUUGUUAUCCAACAACUUUUUGCUUCAUGCAACUUCAUGAGUUCUGUAACUGGAAUCGAACAGAUGAAGGAGGGCAAUCUGGGAUGCAUAUCACACCAAGAUCUUUUGCGAAAUAGGCCAACAUGAAACGACUGCUGGCAAUAGCUAGUCUGGGUGUGUGCUUGGGUGCCGAAGGUUGCAAGAACCCUGAGCUCAAAUUCUAGGAUAGAGCUGGGCAGAGGUAUGUGAAGAAGCGCUUCAAGCACAGAUCGGACUCGUUAAAGCAGUACAGAAGAUAGAUGGAACCCAAAUCUUUGACGGUUAUUGGGUCGGAUCCUGGAAGAGGAAUCACUGGGCCAAUGAUGGUUGGUGGAAGAAUCACAUUGCAAGAACCCCAGAGCAUGCCAAGUUCCACAUGGGCCACGGCCAACUUGACUUUGUUGCAUGUUCUAUUCAGGACAGAAAAUGCCACCGGUGAAUCAUCCAUUGUACCUGGAGAGGACUUAGGAAGACAAUGGAGGAUGAUACUCCAACCAGGAUUACUGACGGGUCAGACGACGAUGCACUUGCUGCAUUUGCUGAAGCAUCUUCUUGCAACAAGGCUCCUCCUGCCACGGUUCUGAACCUGAAGGAAGACUUGAUUACAUGAUGACACCAGCAUAUGUGUGCAACUUUGCUCUAGAAAUUGAUUGUCAUAUCUUUGUUCUGCUCCUGAAUAUUUGAAUGAAUGGGUCUUGUCAAGCAUCACGUGCACAUUUCUCCAAUGUCAUACAAAUGCAUUAAUUAACCAGCA